UUUAUCAAAAACAUGUCUCUUUGAGAUUUUUUAAUAAAGAGUUGGGCCUGCUCGGUGAUUAAUAUUUAACAGCUGCGGUAUUAUAACUGUACUAAGGUAGCAUAAUAAUUUGCUCUAUAAAUUGGGGCUAGAAUGAAUGCUUUGACGAAAAUUUGACUGUCUCUAUUUUAUUUAUUAGAAAUUAAUUUUUGUAGUGAGAAAGCUUAAAUUGUUUAAAGGGACGAAAAGACCCUAUUGAGCUUAUAUUAUUUUAUAAAUUAUAUGAUUGUUGUUUAUUUAGAAUAAUUCUGAUUGGGGUGAUCAAGGAAUAAGAUUGUUU
RNAcentral lists this ribosomal RNA (319 nucleotides) under Octopus insularis. RNAcentral describes it as "partial 16S ribosomal RNA". The stretch from base 1 to 163 matches the Rfam family "Bacterial large subunit ribosomal RNA", at positions 1803 to 2022 of the family's 2925-position model. Lineage: Eukaryota; Metazoa; Mollusca; Cephalopoda; Octopoda; Octopodidae. The record is from RNAcentral.